RNAcentral lists this ribosomal RNA (415 nucleotides) under Escherichia coli. RNAcentral describes it as "bacterial SSU rRNA". It matches the Rfam family "Bacterial small subunit ribosomal RNA", at positions 1131 to 1533 of the family's 1533-position model. The record is from RNAcentral. Lineage: Bacteria; Pseudomonadati; Pseudomonadota; Gammaproteobacteria; Enterobacterales; Enterobacteriaceae.
CCGGGAACUCAAAGGAGACUGCCAGUGAUAAACUGGAGGAAGGUGGGGAUGACGUCAAGUCAUCAUGGCCCUUACGACCAGGGCUACACACGUGCUACAAUGGCGCAUACAAAGAGAAGCGACCUCGCGAGAGCAAGCGGACCUCAUAAAGUGCGUCGUAGUCCGGAUUGGAGUCUGCAACUCGACUCCAUGAAGUCGGAAUCGCUAGUAAUCGUGGAUCAGAAUGCCACGGUGAAUACGUUCCCGGGCCUUGUACACACCGCCCGUCACACCAUGGGAGUGGGUUGCAAAAGAAGUAGGUAGCUUAACCUUCGGGAGGGCGCUUACCACUUUGUGAUUCAUGACUGGGGUGAAGUCGUAACAAGGUAACCGUAGGGGAACCUGCGGUUGGAUCACCUCCUUACCUUAAAGAAGC